UCCCAUAUGGUCUUGUGAUCUGGACUCCUGGUUUUCACCCAGGUGGCCUGGGUUCAAUUCCCAGUGUGGGAA
This is a non-coding RNA of Mauremys mutica (yellowpond turtle), 72 nucleotides long. The record is from the annotation of a RefSeq genome assembly. Lineage: Eukaryota; Metazoa; Chordata; Testudines; Geoemydidae.